AUCUUAGAUGCAAACAGAGGAACAACCGCGAGCAUAUUCACACAUUUGCUCAAGCCCUCUUGUCAGAAGCCAAUACCUUGUCCACCCUGGAGCUGUCCCUGGUCUCACUGCCCCUGUGACCACCACCAGUAACACCAGGACUGACUCUUUGCUUCACUGAUCCCACAGACCCUGCUGGAGCCAGCGAUGAAGACCUAAAGGGGGUUCCAUGUCCUUGGCAUAGAAGCAGAAGGCCUGGGAAGUUGGACCUAAGGCUAGUAAUCCGCUUAGCAGGUGUCACAGGAAGGGGGUGAGUGUGGCUACUGAGGAUGCCCAAGGAUGUGCCCUGGCUAUCAGGCAGCAU
This 343-nucleotide long non-coding RNA is filed under the name Mus caroli (Ryukyu mouse). RNAcentral's name for it is "lncRNA (MGP_CAROLIEiJ_G0004609.1)". Lineage: Eukaryota; Metazoa; Chordata; Mammalia; Rodentia; Muridae. The record is from RNAcentral.